This 96-nucleotide microRNA precursor is filed under the name Alligator mississippiensis (American alligator). Its description in RNAcentral is "microRNA ami-mir-124 precursor (ami-mir-124-4)". Its record names the gene ami-mir-124-4. The stretch from base 17 to 87 matches the Rfam family "mir-124 microRNA precursor family". From Rfam's summary of the family: The mature ~21nt miRNAs are processed from hairpin precursor sequences represented here, in this case originating from the 3' arm. The bounds of the precursors are predicted based on conservation and base pairing and are not generally known. Lineage: Eukaryota; Metazoa; Chordata; Crocodylia; Alligatoridae. The record is from miRBase by way of RNAcentral.
UCCGGACCGCGGCCUCGGCUCUCCGUGUUCACAGCGGACCUUGAUUUAAUGUCACACAAUUAAGGCACGCGGUGAAUGCCAAGAGAGGGGCCGCCC